UUAAUUAAAGCCAAAUAGAGGCAUUUCAUUGUUAAUGAAAAAAUUGAAAUAUUUAAAUUUCUAAUUAAA
RNAcentral lists this transfer RNA (69 nucleotides) under Arge similis. RNAcentral describes it as "tRNA-Asn". Lineage: Eukaryota; Metazoa; Arthropoda; Insecta; Hymenoptera; Argidae. The record is from RNAcentral.